GUUUUAUCUAUGAUGGUGUUCUUUUUAAACCUUUAAGGAGAAAGAAUACUUGAUGUUGCUUGUAAAAU
Molecule: non-coding RNA, 68 nt
Organism: Sarcophilus harrisii (Tasmanian devil)
Lineage: Eukaryota; Metazoa; Chordata; Mammalia; Dasyuromorphia; Dasyuridae
Source: Rfam